AGAGCUGUAGCUCAGCAGGGGGAGCAGCUGUUCCUCGCACAGAAGGUCAUGGGUUCGAUCCCCAUCAGCUCUA
RNAcentral lists this transfer RNA (73 nucleotides) under Sarcina sp. DSM 11001. It matches the Rfam family "tRNA". From Rfam's summary of the family: Transfer RNA (tRNA) molecules are approximately 80 nucleotides in length. Lineage: Bacteria; Bacillati; Bacillota; Clostridia; Eubacteriales; Clostridiaceae. The record is from Rfam by way of RNAcentral.